This 985-nucleotide long non-coding RNA is filed under the name Homo sapiens (human). RNAcentral describes it as "non-protein coding lnc-DCDC1-5:2". The record is from RNAcentral. Lineage: Eukaryota; Metazoa; Chordata; Mammalia; Primates; Hominidae.
AAAGGACGGUCGACUUCGGCGGGGCCCAGGUGAGAAAGGCCCACCUGUGUCCUGGUUGAGGGUCUCCAGGGUUCUUUGGGGCCCGAGGCCAAUGGUGGCAGAGUCUACAUAGAACUAUGCUUCGUGGUGUUCUGGGGAAAACCUUUCGACUUGUUGGCUAUACUAUUCAAUAUGGCUGUAUAGCUCAUUGUGCUUUUGAAUACGUUGGUGGUGUUGUCAUGUGUUCUGGACCAUCAAUGGAGCCUACAAUUCAAAAUUCAGAUAUUGUCUUUGCAGAAAAUCUUAGUCGACAUUUUUAUGGUAUCCAAAGAGGUGACAUUGUGAUUGCAAAAAGCCCAAGUGAUCCAAAAUCAAAUAUUUGUAAAAGAGUAAUUGGUUUGGAAGGAGACAAAAUCCUCACCACUAGUCCAUCAGAUUUCUUUAAAAGCCAUAGUUAUGUAUUUGGAAACUAAGCAGUUCCUAUUAAGAUGCUGUUGCUGGCCGGCCGCGGUGGCUCACGCCUGUAAUCCCAGCACUUUGAGAGGCCAAGGCAGGCAGAUCACCUGAGGUCAAGAGUUUGAGACCAGCCUGCCCAGCAUGGUGAAACCCUGUCUCUGCUAAAAAUGCAAAAAAUUAGCCAGGCGUGGUGGCAGGCGCCUGUCAUCUCAGCUACUUGGGAGGCUGAGGCAGGAGAAUCGCUUCAACCUGGGAGGUGGAGGUUGCAGUGAGCCGAGAUCGCGCCACUGCACUGCAGCCUGGGCAACAAGAGCGAAACUCCGUCUCAAGAAAAGAAAAGAAAAAAAAAGAUGCUGUUUGCUUUCCUUAUUUUGAAGGUACUGAAGCCAAUAAUUCUUUCCUGGGGUUAUGUAUGAACUGAGCAUUGGCUACUGUAAAGAUAUGAGAUUAAUUUGUGACUCUCAAAAGAAACAAAUUGUCAUAAGCUCAGACAUCUUGAGUAUGUUGCCUUUCUGUAUAUUCUACAGGAAUUCCUCAGUUUGCUGCUUGA